RNAcentral lists this ribosomal RNA (497 nucleotides) under uncultured bacterium. RNAcentral describes it as "partial 16S ribosomal RNA". It matches the Rfam family "Bacterial small subunit ribosomal RNA", at positions 36 to 507 of the family's 1533-position model. The record is from RNAcentral.
UCUUCCCUCUUUCUUCGUGCCUAAUACAUGCAAGUCGAGCGAACAGACGAGGAGCUUGCUCCUCUGACGUUAGCGGCGGACGGGUGUGUAACACGUGGAUCACCUACCUAUAAGUCUGGGAUAACUUCGGGAAACCGGCGCUAAUACCGGAUAAUAUAUUGCACCGCAUGGUUCAAUAGUGAAAGACGGUUUUGCUGUCACUUCUAGAUGGAUAUGGGCCGCAUUAGCUGGUUGGUAAGGUAACGGCUUACCACGGCAACGAUGCGUAGCCGACCUGCGAGGGGGGUCGGCCGCCUGGGAGCGGGAACACGGUCCAUGCGACUACGGUAGGCAGCAGUAGGGAAUCGGCCGCAAUAGGCGAAAGCCUGACGGAGCAAGGCCGCGUGAGUGAUGAAAAUCUUCGGAUCGGAAAACUCUGUUAUGAGGGAAGAACAAAUGUGUAAGGAACUGUGCACGUCGUGACGGUACCUAAUCAGAAAGCCACGGCUAACUACGUG